UUUAAACAUGCUCAAACAAACUACAAUGUCCAUGAGAAUUAAUUCCUGAACUAUAUAACUUACAUGAAAAGAGCAGACAAAAUAAUCAGUGUUCCGGAAAACUAGAUGAACAUUCAAUUCCUGGUGAUUGCUCUCAAAUGUUCUUUUCCAGAAAACUUCAAUUGCGCGAGCUAACUUGCAUAAGUACGUACCACAACAAUCUCAAGAGAACAAUGAACAUCCAAAUACCUCAAAUAGCAUAUUAACAUGUCUGUAUAAUGGGGAGGUAUGGAUACAGUAGCAGGAAGACAUAAGCAUGAGGAACUCUCAAAGGCCUGCCAAUUCUAGUCUCAACGGGAAAGACAUCCAACAGAAAGCAAAAUUGUCUAAGCUAUGAAGCAUUCACUCAAUUACUUUUCUCAUAUAUCAACUUGUUAAAAUCUAUGCCAAUGUUUCCAAACUCUGUUUUAUGCCUUUCAAAUCUGGAACCCGAGGUCAAGUGAAUCAUGAGGCUGAAAUUCUAAAGAGCCUUAAGCAAGUGAACAAAUCUCAAGAGCAACCAAAUCAAGGAGAGCCAAGAGUGCAAAAUUUACACUAAAAAAACUGUGCGAAUUUGCUGCUUAAACCAUGCAAGCAGGGCAGAUUAACCAAAUUUAACAAGUUUCAGAACAACUGCUGAAAUCAACUAUCAGAAUAGUAACUAUGAAGACUUGACAUUUUAAUCUUCAUGUGAGACGAUGAAACAACGAAACAAGGAAUCAGAAAUACAUCUUUUGCAUCAAAAUACACCCGAAAAGAUCAAACAAAACGACUACUAAAACUAUGAUAAAUAGAACGAAGUUGAGUGACCAAGCAUUACUGCGACACCCCAAACAAAUUUUACCCAUUUCUGUUUUUGAUUUUUGAAAAGGAGGUCGACCAAAAAUUGAAAAGUCUCACAUAAAGAACUGAAGAUCCCUAAAGAUUUUCGCUAAUCUUCUUAAAUUUCCCCCA
Molecule: long non-coding RNA, 972 nt
Filed under: Nicotiana benthamiana
Lineage: Eukaryota; Viridiplantae; Streptophyta; Magnoliopsida; Solanales; Solanaceae
Description: long non-coding RNA (NBEN_LNC035897)
Source: RNAcentral